UGUACAUUGACAGUGAACAUUUGUCCUAUAGGGUUACGUUGCAGCCCAGUUCACAGCUGCUGGUUCCAGUGUUCUCACUCAAUACUGGACCAAUUCCAAAUAUUCUUGUUCACAUUAGUCACUUAGACACACAUUCAAUGGGCAAAUAGGGUCAUGGUUGAAUCAUACACAAAACUAAAACAACAUUACCCUUUAA
Long non-coding RNA from Etheostoma spectabile (orangethroat darter), 196 nucleotides. RefSeq lists it as uncharacterized. NCBI's taxonomy places the organism in Eukaryota, Metazoa, Chordata, Actinopteri, Perciformes, Percidae. The record is from RefSeq and is a predicted model, not a curated record. The transcript is spliced from 3 exons.